Molecule: ribosomal RNA, 447 nt
Filed under: uncultured bacterium
Lineage: Bacteria
Description: bacterial SSU rRNA
Rfam family: Bacterial small subunit ribosomal RNA
Source: RNAcentral
UCCAGACUCCUACGGGAGGCAGCAGUGGGGAAUAUUGCACAAUGGGGGAAACCCUGAUGCAGCGACGCCGCGUGAGUGAAGAAGUAAUUCGUUAUGUAAAGCUCUAUCAGCAGGGAAGAAAAUGACGGUACCUGAGUAAGAAGCCCCGGCUAACUACGUGCCAGCAGCCGCGGUAAUACGUAGGGGGCAAGCGUUAUCCGGAUUUACUGGGUGUAAAGGGAGCGUAGAUGGUUAUGUAAGUCUGGAGUGAAAGCCCGGGGCCCAACCCCGGGACUGCUUUGGAAACUGUGUAACUAGAGUACAGGAGGGGCAGGCGGAAUUCCUGGUGUAGCGGUGAAAUGCGUAGAUAUCAGGAGGAACACCGGCGGCGAAGGCGGCCUGCUGGACUGAAACUGACGUUGAGGCUCGAAAGCGUGGGGAGCAAACAGGAUUAGAUACCCUUGUAGA